This 2900-nucleotide ribosomal RNA is filed under the name Klebsiella pneumoniae. RNAcentral's name for it is "bacterial LSU rRNA". It matches the Rfam family "Bacterial large subunit ribosomal RNA". The record is from RNAcentral. Lineage: Bacteria; Pseudomonadati; Pseudomonadota; Gammaproteobacteria; Enterobacterales; Enterobacteriaceae.
UUAAGCGACUAAGCGUACACGGUGGAUGCCCUGGCAGUCAGAGGCGAUGAAGGACGUGCUAAUCUGCGAAAAGCGUCGGUAAGGUGAUAUGAACCGUUACAGCCGGCGAUGUCCGAAUGGGGAAACCCAGUGCAAUUCGUUGCACUAUCGUUAACUGAAUACAUAGGUUAACGAGGCGAACCGGGGGAACUGAAACAUCUAAGUACCCCGAGGAAAAGAAAUCAACCGAGAUUCCCCCAGUAGCGGCGAGCGAACGGGGAGCAGCCCAGAGUCUGAAUCAGCUUGUGUGUUAGUGGAACGGUCUGGAAAGUCCGACGGUACAGGGUGAUAGUCCCGUACACCAAAAUGCACAGGCUGUGAACUCGAAGAGUAGGGCGGGACACGUGGUAUCCUGUCUGAAUAUGGGGGGACCAUCCUCCAAGGCUAAAUACUCCUGACUGACCGAUAGUGAACCAGUACCGUGAGGGAAAGGCGAAAAGAACCCCGGCGAGGGGAGUGAAAAAGAACCUGAAACCGUGUACGUACAAGCAGUGGGAGCACCUUCGGGUGUGACUGCGUACCUUUUGUAUAAUGGGUCAGCGACUUAUAUUCUGUAGCAAGGUUAACCGUAUAGGGGAGCCGCAGGGAAACCGAGUCUUAACUGGGCGUUAAGUUGCAGGGUAUAGACCCGAAACCCGGUGAUCUAGCCAUGGGCAGGUUGAAGGUUGGGUAACACUAACUGGAGGACCGAACCGACUAAUGUUGAAAAAUUAGCGGAUGACUUGUGGCUGGGGGUGAAAGGCCAAUCAAACCGGGAGAUAGCUGGUUCUCCCCGAAAGCUAUUUAGGUAGCGCCUCGUGAACUCAUCUUCGGGGGUAGAGCACUGUUUCGGCUAGGGGGUCAUCCCGACUUACCAACCCGAUGCAAACUACGAAUACCGAAGAAUGUUAUCACGGGAGACACACGGCGGGUGCUAACGUCCGUCGUGAAGAGGGAAACAACCCAGACCGCCAGCUAAGGUCCCAAAGUCAUGGUUAAGUGGGAAACGAUGUGGGAAGGCACAGACAGCCAGGAUGUUGGCUUAGAAGCAGCCAUCAUUUAAAGAAAGCGUAAUAGCUCACUGGUCGAGUCGGCCUGCGCGGAAGAUGUAACGGGGCUAAACCAUGCACCGAAGCUGCGGCAGCGACACUAUGUGUUGUUGGGUAGGGGAGCGUUCUGUAAGCCUGCGAAGGUGUGCUGUGAGGCAUGCUGGAGGUAUCAGAAGUGCGAAUGCUGACAUAAGUAACGAUAAAGCGGGUGAAAAGCCCGCUCGCCGGAAGACCAAGGGUUCCUGUCCAACGUUAAUCGGGGCAGGGUGAGUCGACCCCUAAGGCGAGGCCGAAAGGCGUAGUCGAUGGGAAACAGGUUAAUAUUCCUGUACUUGGUGUUACUGCGAAGGGGGGACGGAGAAGGCUAUGUUAGCCGGGCGACGGUUGUCCCGGUUUAAGCAUGUAGGCUGGUUGUCCAGGCAAAUCCGGAUAAUCAAGGCUGAGGUGUGAUGACGAGGCACUACGGUGCUGAAGUAACAAAUGCCCUGCUUCCAGGAAAAGCCUCUAAGCAUCAGGUAACAUUAAAUCGUACCCCAAACCGACACAGGUGGUCAGGUAGAGAAUACCAAGGCGCUUGAGAGAACUCGGGUGAAGGAACUAGGCAAAAUGGUGCCGUAACUUCGGGAGAAGGCACGCUGGUGUGUAGGUGAAGUCCCUGCGGAUGGAGCUGAGACCAGUCGAAGAUACCAGCUGGCUGCAACUGUUUAUUAAAAACACAGCACUGUGCAAACACGAAAGUGGACGUAUACGGUGUGACGCCUGCCCGGUGCCGGAAGGUUAAUUGAUGGGGUUAUCCGUAAGGAGAAGCUCUUGAUCGAAGCCCCGGUAAACGGCGGCCGUAACUAUAACGGUCCUAAGGUAGCGAAAUUCCUUGUCGGGUAAGUUCCGACCUGCACGAAUGGCGUAAUGAUGGCCAGGCUGUCUCCACCCGAGACUCAGUGAAAUUGAACUCGCUGUGAAGAUGCAGUGUACCCGCGGCAAGACGGAAAGACCCCGUGAACCUUUACUAUAGCUUGACACUGAACAUUGAGCCUUGAUGUGUAGGAUAGGUGGGAGGCUUUGAAGCGUGGACGCCAGUCUGCGUGGAGCCAACCUUGAAAUACCACCCUUUAAUGUUUGAUGUUCUAACGUUGGCCCCUUACCGGGGUUGCGGACAGUGUCUGGUGGGUAGUUUGACUGGGGCGGUCUCCUCCCAAAGCGUAACGGAGGAGCACGAAGGUUAGCUAAUCCUGGUCGGACAUCAGGAGGUUAGUGCAAUGGCAUAAGCUAGCUUGACUGCGAGCGUGACGGCGCGAGCAGGUGCGAAAGCAGGUCAUAGUGAUCCGGUGGUUCUGAAUGGAAGGGCCAUCGCUCAACGGAUAAAAGGUACUCCGGGGAUAACAGGCUGAUACCGCCCAAGAGUUCAUAUCGACGGCGGUGUUUGGCACCUCGAUGUCGGCUCAUCACAUCCUGGGGCUGAAGUAGGUCCCAAGGGUAUGGCUGUUCGCCAUUUAAAGUGGUACGCGAGCUGGGUUUAGAACGUCGUGAGACAGUUCGGUCCCUAUCUGCCGUGGGCGCUGGAGAAUUGAGGGGGGCUGCUCCUAGUACGAGAGGACCGGAGUGGACGCAUCACUGGUGUUCGGGUUGUCAUGCCAAUGGCACUGCCCGGUAGCUAAAUGCGGAAGAGAUAAGUGCUGAAAGCAUCUAAGCACGAAACUUGCCCCGAGAUGAGUUCUCCCUGAGACUUUAAGUCUCCUGAAGGAACGUUGAAGACGACGACGUUGAUAGGCCGGGUGUGUAAGCGCAGCGAUGCGUUGAGCUAACCGGUACUAAUGAACCGUGAGGCUUAACCUU